This 198-nucleotide ribosomal RNA is filed under the name Triticum aestivum (bread wheat). RNAcentral describes it as "partial small subunit ribosomal RNA". Lineage: Eukaryota; Viridiplantae; Streptophyta; Magnoliopsida; Poales; Poaceae. The record is from RNAcentral.
AUGGCGCUCGGGUGGUUCAAGGUCGUGGAGGUGCAGGUGCAGAGCGCGCGGGCGUACCAGUGGAGGUGGGAGGAGAAGGCGGGGGUCGUGGUGUCCCUCCUCGACGACGCGCUCUUCCACGUCCUCUACGCCGCCGAGGCCGUCGUCCUCUCCGCCGCGCUCUGCGGCUUCUUCCUCUGCUGCGGCUGCAACAUCUGA